RNAcentral lists this ribosomal RNA (2406 nucleotides) under Triticum aestivum (bread wheat). RNAcentral's name for it is "partial small subunit ribosomal RNA". Lineage: Eukaryota; Viridiplantae; Streptophyta; Magnoliopsida; Poales; Poaceae. The record is from RNAcentral.
AUGGAGGCCGCGGCGGCGCGCAAGGAGUGGCGCGCCGUCCCCGACGCCCCGCUCCGCACCAAUGGCGCCGAGGAUGCUGCGGAGCGCGUGAAGAUGGCGCAGUCCGAGGGCAGGGCCAUCUACCAGGAUGAGUCGGGAGGGCUGGAUGACUUCUGCUCGAUCACCAUUGAUGGGACCGGUGGGCUCAGCGAGGACAUCCUGCAGCAGCGCCUGCAGAGCAUCGUGCGACAGCGGGAGGAGCUGCAGCAGGUGGAGAUCGACCUGCGUGCACAGGCCAUCGCCCACCCACAGAUCAUUGAGGUGCAGCGCCGAUUUGGGGAGGCUACCAAGGAGCAUCUAGUAGCAGCUGAAAAGCUCAAGAUUGAACAGGAACAACUACAUGAACGUGAGAAGUACAUUCUUGAGCUGGAAAUGAAAUUGGAUGAUACACAUAGGGAAUUGGAUGCUUUGAAGAUUGACCAUCAAACGGUAUGGGCUAAUCAGGAUCUUCUUAGAGAACAGACCAAGGAAAUCGCAAGUUUCAGAAGGGAGCGUGAUAAUUCUGAAGCUGAAAGAGCCCAACAUCUUAAACAAAUUCAUGAUCUGCAAGAACAUCUGCGAGAAAAGGAAAGCCAGUAUCUUGCAUUAGAGGAACAGCAUAGGGUUGCUCAAGACAACAUUCUUUAUAAAGAUGAACAGUUGAGGGAUGCUCAUGCAUGGAUUACACGAGUUCAAGAAAUGGAUAUCUUGCAGUCUCAAUCACUACAAGCUGAGUUGCGUGAGCGUACUGAUCAGUUUGGUCAAUGUUGGGCCACUUUCCAGCAACAGUAUGUUGAAAUGCAGCAAGGUUUUCUGCAUACAAUACAACGACUCCAGCUAGAACUUAUUGAGUUAAGAGACCGUACUGGAGAACAAGAAGAUGUUUCGCAAGCUGCUCAGGAGGGUUCAGCUGAAGCGUCAUAUGUUCAAAGCAAGGGAAGCAACAUGGCUGCAAAUGGUAGUGCAUUAGCAGAUGGAAAUCAGUCCACAAAUGACUCCUUUAAGGGAAAUAAUGCCCAUGCUGUACCUGUUGUUCCAUCACUAUUGGGACUAAGUGGUUUUGUUCCUCCUGGGCAGAUGGCUGGGAUGCAUUCAUAUAUGCUGCAUCCUCAAGGCAUUCCUCAAUCUUUAGCCUCACCCAACUCUGGUGUUCCUCAAUUUGGUACUUUUCAGCCUACAAUCCAACCCACCAUGCACUGGCCUAAUCAACAGGAAGCACAAGCUGCCUCACAAACACCUGAUGCCACAAACUAUCACCCAUCACAAUCAGAUCAGAAUGCAUUACAGCCAGCUGCAUUGCAACCAGCUGCUAGCAACAAUGUUGAGCUGCCGUCUGGGCAGAGUCAGGUGACCCAUCCAGAGAAUCUUACAGCUCAUGGCGAGCAAGAACAACGUUCCACGAGUGUGGUUGCUGAAUCAACUCAAGAACCAAAGGUCAUGGAAUCCAAUGUUACCGAACAUUUUUACAAUGAAGAGCAAAAAGCCCAUGAUUCAUCUUCGAAUGCCAGCUCUACUGGAAAGUUUGAACGCCAAGAAGAAAGAUCGGAAUCAAAGGGCGAGAAAGUUGCAUCUGGCAAGCAGCCUGUGGAGCAUGUACCUAGGAAGCAGAAUCAAGCUUCAGAUUCUGCUGGGUCAACAACCCAGAUCCACAUGAACAAUAUGGCGCCAGAGUUAAAGUCUAAUGUUGUGAAUCAGUCCGACACACUUACAUCCGCAGGUGGUGGUGUGGGUUCACUGUUACCAAAGGAGCCUGUCCUUCUAGAUGAAAGAUGUCUGCUAGCCUGCAUUGUUCGUGCAGUCCCUGCUGGAUCUGAUAACCGAAUCAGGAUAAGUUCAACUCUGCCAAAUAGGCUUGGGAAAAUGUUGGCCCCUCUUCAUUGGCAUGACUAUAAGAAAAGUUAUGGGAAGCUAGAUGAUUUUGUGGCUAGUCACAAUGAGCUUUUUGUGAUUGAGGGAGAUUUCAUUCACCUUCGUGAAGGAGCACAACAGAUCAUUUCAGCUACAACAGCUGCUGCUAAAAUUGCUGCUGCUGCUGCGGCUGCAUCAUCUGCUUCUUACUCAUCGUUGCUGCCUUCAGUUGCUGUUACUCCUGUGGCACACACCACUCGUCAAAAGAGAGGACCUGUUGUUGAUUCCAGAUCUUCAAAUUCAAUGCCAUCAGGAAAUGGCUCUAAUACAGCUAAAUUUGGCAAUCAACACCAAGCGAAUGGCUUUUCUGAUGAAGUUCGAGCUGGGCAGUCAUCGAGGCACACAGCUGCUGCCAAUGGGGGAAGACAUGAACGAGUUGGUCCCCCUACAACACAUGAAAAAAUCCCAAGUGCCAGACAUGGUUAUGGAGGAAAGCAACAGGGCAGAUCUGCUGGGACCGAAUUCAGUUCAAGAAGAUAA